CCUGCCCGUUGAAUUUUUUGAAAGGCCGCGGUAUAUUAACUGUGCAAAGGUAGCAUAAUAAUUAGUUUUUUAAUUGAAGGCUUGUAUGAAGGGUUGGACAAAGAAAAAACUGUCUUUAAUUUUAUUUUUGAAAUUAACUUUUAAGUGAAAAGGCUUAAAUAAAUUUAAGGGACGAUAAGACCCUAUAAAUCUUUAUAUUAGUUUAUUUUCUUGAAAAUUAAUUUUGUCUAGAAUAUUAAGUAAAAUAGAAAAUAUUUUGUUGGGGUGAUGAGAAUAUAAAUUUAACUGUUCUUAGAUGAAACAAAGUUAUUUGUUUAGUUUUAAUAGAUCCUUUUUAGAGAUUAAGAGUUUAAGUUACUUUAGGGAUAACAGCGUUAUUUUUUUUGAGAGUUCUUAUCGAAAAAAAAGUUUGCGACCUCGAUGUUGAAUUAAAAUUUCUCCAUGGUGAAGUAUUUAUGGGUGGAAAGUCUGUUCGACUUUUAAAGGAGUUUGAGCC
This 496-nucleotide ribosomal RNA is filed under the name Agononida eminens. Its description in RNAcentral is "partial 16S ribosomal RNA". It matches the Rfam family "Bacterial large subunit ribosomal RNA", at positions 1858 to 2606 of the family's 2925-position model. Lineage: Eukaryota; Metazoa; Arthropoda; Malacostraca; Decapoda; Munididae. The record is from RNAcentral.